GCCUAUCAGGUAGUAGUGGGUGUAGCGUACCUACUAGCCUACGACGGGUACGGGUUGUGGGAGCAAGAGCCCGGAGAUGGAUUCUGAGACACGAAUCCAGGCCCUACGGGGUGCAGCAGGCGCGAAAACUUUACAAUGCUGGCAACAGCGAUAAGGGAACCUCGAGUGCCAGGUUACAAAUCUGGCUGUCGAGAUGCCUAAAAAGCAUUUCAUAGCAAGGGCCGGGCAAGACCGGUGCCAGCCGCCGCGGUAACACCGGCGGCUCGAGUGGUAACCGUUAUUAUUGGGUCUAAAGGGUCUGUAGCCGGCCGGAUAAGUCUCUUGAGAAAUCUGGCAGCUUAACUGUCAGGCUUUCAGGAGAUACUGUCUGGCUCGAGGCCGGGAGAGGUGAGAGGUACUUCAGGGGUAGGGGUGAAAUCUUGUAAUCCUUGAAGGACCACCAGUGGCGAAGGCGUCUCACCAGAACGGACCUGACGGCAAGGGACGAAAGCUAGGGGCACGAACCGGAUUAGAUACCCGGGUAGUCCUAGCCGUAAACGAUACUCGCUAGGUGUCGGCCACGGUGCGACCGUUGUCGGUGCCGUAGGGAAGCCGUGAAGCGAG
Molecule: ribosomal RNA, 603 nt
Filed under: uncultured archaeon
Lineage: Archaea
Description: bacterial SSU rRNA
Rfam family: Archaeal small subunit ribosomal RNA
Source: RNAcentral